RNAcentral lists this ribosomal RNA (460 nucleotides) under uncultured bacterium. RNAcentral's name for it is "partial 16S ribosomal RNA". It matches the Rfam family "Bacterial small subunit ribosomal RNA", at positions 338 to 795 of the family's 1533-position model. The record is from RNAcentral.
CCUACGGGAGGCAGCAGUGAGGAAUAUUGGUCAAUGGACGAGAGUCUGAACCAGCCAAGUAGCGUGAAGGAUGAAUGCCCUAUGGGUUGUAAACUUCUGUUAUAAAGGAAUAAUACGAGGCGCGGAUGCCUUUUUGCAUGUACUUUAUGAUUAAGGAUCGGCUAACUCCGUACGUGCAGCCUGGGUAAUACGGAGGAUCCGAGCGUUCUCCGUAUUUAUUGGGUUUAAAGGGAGCGUAGGUGGGUUGUUAAGUCAGUUGUGAAAGUUUGCGGCUCAACCGUAAAAUUGCAAUUGAUACUGGCAGUCUUGAGUACAGGUGAGGUAGGCGGAAUUCGUGGUGUAGCGGUGAAAUGCUUAGAUAUCACGAAGAACCCCGAUUGCGAAGGCAGCUUACUAAACUGUGCCUGACAUUGAUGCGCGAAAGUGUGGGUAGCAAACAGGAUUAGAUACCCGAGUAGUC